RNAcentral lists this ribosomal RNA (431 nucleotides) under Furcifer major. RNAcentral describes it as "partial 16S ribosomal RNA". It matches the Rfam family "Bacterial large subunit ribosomal RNA", at positions 1922 to 2591 of the family's 2925-position model. Lineage: Eukaryota; Metazoa; Chordata; Lepidosauria; Squamata; Chamaeleonidae. The record is from RNAcentral.
GGUAUCCGGGGUACCGGAACCGCGCGUUAAUAAAAAAAUUACUUGUUUGAAUUCAAACCAGUGUGUGAUUAAAAAAAAGAGAACACCUGUCUCCUAAGGAAGGGCAAUGAAAUUGAACUACCAGUUCAACAGCUGGUAUAAAAAAGCAAGACGAAAAGACCCUGUGGAACUUUAAUUAACUGCUUUACAUACAAAACCAGUAAUUUCAGUUGGGACAACUUUAGAAAAAAUAAACUUCCUAAUUUUACUAGACUGACUAGUCAAAACAAUCAUGACCCAGUAACACUGAUUAACGAAACAAGCUACCCCAGGGAUAACAGCGCCACCUUCUCAAAGAGUCCAUAUCAACAAGAAGAUCUACGACCUCGAUGUUGGAUCAGGGUACCCAGACGGUGCAACACCUGUCAAUGGUUCGUUUGUUCCACGAUUAA